This 476-nucleotide ribosomal RNA is filed under the name uncultured bacterium. RNAcentral's name for it is "bacterial SSU rRNA". It matches the Rfam family "Bacterial small subunit ribosomal RNA", at positions 1054 to 1529 of the family's 1533-position model. The record is from RNAcentral.
GUCAGCUCGUGUCGUGAGAUGUUGGGUUAAGUCCCGCAACGAGCGUAACCCUUAAGCUUAGUUGCCAGCAUUAAGUUGGGUACUCUAAGUUGACUGCCGGUGACAAACCGGAGGAAGGUGGGGAUGACGUCAAAUCAUCAUGCCCCUUAUGAUUUGGGCUACACACGUGCUACAAUGGACAAUACAAAGGGCAGCUAAACCGCGAGGUCAUGCAAAUCCCAUAAAGUUGUUCUCAGUUCGGAUUGUAGUCUGCAACUCGACUACAUGAAGCUGGAAUCGCUAGUAAUCGUAGAUCAGCAUGCUACGGUGAAUACGUUCCCGGGUCUUGUACACACCGCCCGUCACACCACGAGAGUUUGUAACACCCGAAGCCGGUGGAGUAACCAUUUAUGGAGCUAGCCGUCGAAGGUGGGACAAAUGAUUGGGGUGAAGUCGUAACAAGGUAGCCGUAUCGGAAGGUGCGGUUGGAUCACCUC